UCCAGGAAGAAGAAAUUCUGCUCCACUCUUGACUUCAAUGUUACCAUCCGGUUUAAUGCAGAUCGGGCUUUCUGCUGAAGACACUGCUUCUCUGAAGCCCUCUCAAGGGAAAGAACAUCUUCUACUUGGAAUCGAACUCACGACCUUGCACUUGCCAGUUAUUUAGGGCAAUUAAAAUAUCUGGUUUCCAAACACUAUCAGUCAGUGGAAAAGAAUUUGAAGAUGUGGAUGAAAUGAAUUCAGAUACAUUACAGAUGAAAAUAUGAAUGCCCUUUAAAGAGCUUCAAAUAUUCAUACUGAAAUGGCAAGAGGAGAGAUCUGUUUCUACGGGAAACACUAAUCACAAACCAAGACAAAGCUUUGAACUUCAUGGAGUCUGUAAGACAUUUUGGCCACUCACUAAAAAUCUGCCUGUUUUCCCAAAGUCAAAAUCCCCCUCUUCCCCUGAAGAGGUAACAACUUUAAGGUGCAUUCCAAGACACUCGGCUGUGAUUCUGAUAUCGAAUAUCAGCAAAGGAAGACCCUUCUCCCCCAGCCCAGCCCAGAGAGCAAUGUAAGCAGCCUACUUCAUUCGGAGACUCAUCAAGGACUUCACCGCUUAGUUUACUCUUAGGUCUCAGAAUCGGAGAUGUUGAUGAUUUGUUAAUGCUGCACAUUGAUUCCUAUGUCACAGGUCAAGGUUCAUAGCCCAAAGUAACAAGGAGUCCUCAUGUUGCUUGUGACCUCUCCCAGAUAGACAGAACUUUGUGUUUGUCUCCUUCAUACUACCCUGUCCUCACAGAGUGUGACUCCUUAUCCUACCCCUAAAACUCAGGACAUGGCGCCUGGCUUCCUUAACAAUUUCCAAUGAGUAAGCGUUCUGUGUAUUUAUCAGCUAUUCUGUAGUUUAUAGCUGAAAUUUUCUACACUAUUUCAGUUGUUCCCCAGAGAAAAUCACUACUUUUAAAACGUGUUUAGAAAACUUUAGCACAAUACUUUAUAAAAUACCUGUCUAGUUCCCUAGUCUUGACGCAUGAAAAAGAUGUUCAAGAACUGAGAGCAGUGAGGGUCUUAGGCACCCAAUACCCUGGGUUGCUGGAGCAGUUCGGAGCAUGUGAGAGGUAGGCAUGUAGAUAUGGGCUGUCCAUUUUUUAUCAGUCCGUUAUUAUGACAUUAAUUUUGGCAAUUUUCACCACUCAUGAGAUUUUAAAAUUUUCUCUGCUUCCUUUGAAUUUCUCUUUUGUACUGUUGAAGCUGUACUGUACUUCAUGCAAUGUUGUUUUGGGGACGGUGCUGGAGGGGAGGGUGACCAAUAAAA
This is a long non-coding RNA of Chinchilla lanigera (long-tailed chinchilla), 1297 nucleotides long. RefSeq lists it as uncharacterized. The transcript has 4 exons. Lineage: Eukaryota; Metazoa; Chordata; Mammalia; Rodentia; Chinchillidae. The record is from RefSeq and is a predicted model, not a curated record.